RNAcentral lists this non-coding RNA (52 nucleotides) under Mycobacterium kyorinense. Its description in RNAcentral is "L31-Actinobacteria ribosomal protein leader". It matches the Rfam family "L31-Actinobacteria ribosomal protein leader". The record is from RNAcentral. Lineage: Bacteria; Bacillati; Actinomycetota; Actinomycetes; Mycobacteriales; Mycobacteriaceae.
CAGGUUCCGGUUCACGUCCGAGCAUCGGCGCGAUGCGGGCGACCCGGCGGCC